Molecule: long non-coding RNA, 953 nt
Organism: Cydia pomonella (codling moth)
Lineage: Eukaryota; Metazoa; Arthropoda; Insecta; Lepidoptera; Tortricidae
Exons: 2
Source: RefSeq, a predicted model, not a curated record
CGAAGUUGUUAUUUUUACGUUUUUUUGAUUAAAAUAAGUUUAGCCCAGCAUUGUUAUGAUAACCUAUGAAUUUUAGACGAUUUGGAAUGAAAAUUGUGGAGUUACGAUUUUUUUUCAAAAUAAAUGUAUGGAGCAGGAACAAGAAAUCAUCAUUACUCAAGAACCGCAAAACAAACCGUAAUAUCCUCGCAGGUGGUUAUACUACGAAUUAUUUGUGAUUUUUUGGCAUACUACAUAUAUCCGCCACGGGUGCGGUUUUUUUUUUUAAUCAUUAAUUGUUUCUAUGGAAAAAGCACAAAAACCAAAUUCAAAAUUUUAAGAUUUUUUUGAUUGAAAUGGGUUUUGCUCAGUGUGUUUAUGCUAAGUUAUAAGUUUCACACGAUUUGAGUUGAAAAUGGUAGAGUUAUGAUUUUUUUUCAAAAAAAAUGUAUGGAGCCGGAACAAAAUAUCAAAAUAUCUCAAGAACCACAACAAAUACGGUAAUAUCCUCGCAGAUAGUUAUGCUACGAAUUAUUUGUGAUUUUUUGGCAUACUACAUAUAUCCGCCACGGGUGCGAUAUUUUGAUAUUUUGUUCCGGCUCCAUACAUUUUUUUUGAAAAAAAAUCAUAACUCUACCAUUUUCAACUCAAAUCGUGUGAAACUUAUAACUUAGCAUAAACACACUGAGCAAAACCCAUUUCAAUCAAAAAAAUCUUAAAAUGUUGAAUUUGGUUUUUGUGCUUUUUCCAUAGAAACAAUUAAUGAUUUAAAAAAAAAAAAACCGCACCCGUGGCGGAUAUAUGUAGUAUACCAAAAAAUCACAAAUAAUUCGUAGUAUAACCACCUACGAGGAUAUUACGGUUUGUUUUGCGGUUCUUGAGUAAUGAUGAUUUCUUGUUCCUGCUCCAUACAUUUAUUUUGAAAAAAAAUCGUAACUCCACAAUUUUCAUUCCAAAUCGUCUAAAAUUCAUAG